GUCGGUUAAGGGCUUGUAAGUAAGCGUUUCAAGGUAAGAUCUACACACGUUGAAUUCGGCGCAUGUGACAAAUAACGUUUGAUUUGAUUUCACAUCAACUGAUUUGUAAAAAAAAAGAUAUUUGACUGUGUAAAUUCAUUGGGUAGGCCUAUAGGCUAUUCACUGUAGUACUAUUCCUUAUCAUUCCUCUUUAGCUCUUGGAGUCCCUGGACAUCAACCACCCGAGCCACUGCCUGUUCACACCGCUACCAUCCAGAAGGAGAGUUGCAGCUACAGUAUGCUUAACAGUUCUAAUAUUAUGGUACAGCUAGACGGACUCUUCAUCGUCAUGGUGCUUUUUGAUAAGGCCGGUGGUUCCUGGUCCCCUGGCUGAUGGCGUCCCCCACGACACCCCUCCGCCUCCCUUGGACAUCAAGGGGAGCCCCGCACUGUCAUGCCUACUCCUGCUCCCUCCUUCCGGCGCUCGUCUAAUCACCGGUCCUGGCAACCCACAUUGUACACAUCUGGCAACCAUCAUUGCGCAGCACACCUGGUCCCCAUCGUUAAGCACACCUGGACUUCAUCACCACCCUGAUUAGUCUCCCUUCAUUUAGCCCUCAGUAGCUUCAAUCAUCAGGCAGUAUUGGUUUUGGUUACAU
Molecule: long non-coding RNA, 638 nt
Filed under: Salmo salar (Atlantic salmon)
Lineage: Eukaryota; Metazoa; Chordata; Actinopteri; Salmoniformes; Salmonidae
Description: lncRNA (ENSSSAG00000113279.1)
Source: RNAcentral